AACGAACGCUGGCGGCAUGCCUAACACAUGCAAGUCGAACGAGACCUUCGGGUCUAGUGGCGCACGGGUGCGUAACGCGUGGGAAUCUGCCCUUGGGUUCGGAAUAACAGUUAGAAAUGACUGCUAAUACCGGAUAAUGUCUUCGGACCAAAGAUUUAUCGCCCAGGGAUGAGCCCCGCGUAGGAUUAGCUAGUUGGUGAGGUAAAGGCUCACCAAGGCGACGAUCCUUAGCUGGUCUGAGAGGGAUGAUCAGCCACACGUGGGACUGAGACACGGCCCAGACUCCGUACGGGAGGCAGCAGGU
Molecule: ribosomal RNA, 304 nt
Filed under: uncultured bacterium
Lineage: Bacteria
Description: bacterial SSU rRNA
Rfam family: Bacterial small subunit ribosomal RNA
Source: RNAcentral